Molecule: long non-coding RNA, 653 nt
Filed under: Nicotiana benthamiana
Lineage: Eukaryota; Viridiplantae; Streptophyta; Magnoliopsida; Solanales; Solanaceae
Description: long non-coding RNA (NBEN_LNC004962)
Source: RNAcentral
UAACUUAAAAUAAUUAGAAUCCCUAAUCCAUAAACUUGAUAUCCAUGUUCCGCCUCUCAGAUGCGGAGCUAGGAUAUUAAGUGUAUGGGUUCUAAAUUACAAAUACAAGAUCUCGAAAAAAAUACUAAAUUUUCUUUCACUGUAGCUUUACUGUAGACAUAUGAAAAUUUUCUUCUUAAUAAGGCAAGUAUAACAGUAAGUGAAACAUGACUCUAUUCCAACACAGAAUCGGAGCAACUAAACUGGCAAAAAUAAUUAUCAAAAGAAAAUAAUCUAAAAAGGGCUCAUUUCAAUAUUAAAACUACAUCACUCUACUGACUAAUUUUUGAAGAUCAUGACGAUCUGAUGGUACUGAGUGACAGUGAUGAAGCAAUAAGGCAAAUGAAAAAGAAUAUCAGAGUUGUACUUACACGAACGGUAGCAAAAGUUGGUAGAGAAAAAGAUACGUCAGAGACGUCAAGGGGAAUCGCCUGAGAAGUUAAGAUUCGCCGGAGAAUUCAGUCAAUUUCGGUUUGAAAUACUACUGACAGAGAAAAAGGGGAAAAUGAAAAGUGGAAAGAAGAGUAGUAUUGUUUAUAGCUACUAUUAUCCAACAGAGAAGCACACAAGGAUAAAGUGCUUUCUAUUGCUUUAUGUGAUAGCGCAGAACCUUU